GAUGAACGCUGGCGGCGUGCUUAACACAUGCAAGUCGAACGGAAAGGCCCAAGCUUGCUUGGGUACUCGAGUGGCGAACGGGUAAGUAACACGUGGGUGAUCUGCCCUGCACUUCGGGAUAAGCCUGGGAAACUGGGUCUAAUACCGGAUAGGACGAUGGUUUGGAUGCCAUUGUGGAAAGUUUUUUCGGUGUGGGAUGAGCUCGCGGCCUAUCAGCUUGUUGGUGGGGUAAUGGCCUACCAAGGCGUCGACGGGUAGCCGGCCUGAGAGGGUGUACGGCCACAUUGGGACUGAGAUACGGCCCAGACUCCUACGGGGGGCAGCAGUGGGGAAUAUUGCACAAUGGGCGCAAGCCUGAUGCAGCGACGCCGCGUGGGGGAUGACGGCCUUCGGGUUGUAAACUCCUUUCGCUAGGGACGAAGCGUUUUUGUGACGGUACCUGGAGAAGAAGCACCGGCUAACUACGUG
RNAcentral lists this ribosomal RNA (468 nucleotides) under uncultured bacterium. RNAcentral describes it as "partial 16S ribosomal RNA". It matches the Rfam family "Bacterial small subunit ribosomal RNA", at positions 28 to 507 of the family's 1533-position model. The record is from RNAcentral.